This 465-nucleotide ribosomal RNA is filed under the name uncultured bacterium. Its description in RNAcentral is "partial 16S ribosomal RNA". It matches the Rfam family "Bacterial small subunit ribosomal RNA", at positions 338 to 795 of the family's 1533-position model. The record is from RNAcentral.
CCUACGGGAGGCUGCAGUAGGGAAUCUUCCACAAUGGGCGAAAGCCUGAUGGAGCAACGCCGCGUGGGUGAAGAAGGUCUUCGGAUCGUACAACCCUGUUGUUAGAGAAGAAAGUGCGUGAGAGUAACUGCUCACGUUUCGACGGUAUCUAACCAGAAAGCCACGGCUAACUACGUGCCACCAGCAGCGGUAAUACGUAGGUGGCAAGCGUUAUCCGGAUUUAAUGGGCGUAAAGGUAACGUAGGCGGACUUUUAAGUCUGAUGUGAAAGUCUUCGGCUUAACCGGAGUAGUGCAUUGGAAACUGGGAGACGUGAGUGCAGAAGAGGAGAGUGGAACUCCAUGUGUAGCGGUGAAAUGCGUAGAUAUAUGGAAGAACACCAGUGGCGAAAGCGGCUCUCUGGUCUGUAACUGACGCUGAGGUUCGAAAGCGUGGGUAGCAAACAGGAUUAGAUACCCUAGUAGUC